Molecule: transfer RNA, 73 nt
Filed under: Jeotgalibacillus malaysiensis
Lineage: Bacteria; Bacillati; Bacillota; Bacilli; Caryophanales; Caryophanaceae
Description: tRNA-Phe (GAA) (tRNA-Phe-GAA-3-1)
Rfam family: tRNA
About the family: Transfer RNA (tRNA) molecules are approximately 80 nucleotides in length. Their secondary structure includes four short double-helical elements and three loops (D, anti-codon, and T loops).
Source: RNAcentral
GGGGCGGUAGCUCAGCUGGUAGAGCACGGGACUGAAAAUCCCGGUGUCGCAGGUUCGACCCCUGCUCGUCCCA